This 80-nucleotide small RNA is filed under the name Erythrobacter litoralis HTCC2594. RNAcentral's name for it is "Makes More Granules Regulator RNA (mmgR)". It matches the Rfam family "Makes More Granules Regulator RNA (mmgR)". Rfam says of the family: SuhB later renamed mmgR (makes more granules regulator) was a putative non-coding RNA found multiple times in the Agrobacterium tumefaciens genome and related alpha-proteobacteria. Lineage: Bacteria; Pseudomonadati; Pseudomonadota; Alphaproteobacteria; Sphingomonadales; Erythrobacteraceae. The record is from Rfam by way of RNAcentral.
CGGGCAGGCCUUUCAGGCAUCCUCUCCCAAACUUUUCCGGCCCGGUUGGCUCGUCCAGCCGGGCCUUUUUCUUGUCCGCG